CCUACGGGUGGCAGCAGUGGGGGAUAUUGCACAAUGGGGGAACCCUGAUGCAGCGACGCCGCGUGGGUGAAGGAGUGCUUCGGCAUGUAAAGCCCUAUCGGCAGGGAAGAAGCAAGACGGUACCUGACUAAGAAGCCCCGGCUAACUACGUGCCAGCAGCCGCGGUAAUACGUAGGGGGCGAGCGUUAUCCGGAUUCACUGGGUGUAAAGGGGGCGCAGACGGCAAUGCAAGCCAGGAGUGAAAGCCCGGGGCCCAACCCCGGGACUGCUCUUGGAACUGCAUGGCUGGAGUACAGGAGGGGCAGGCGGAAUUCCUGGUGUAGCGGUGAAAUGCGUAGAUAUUGGGAGGAACACCGGUGGCGAAGGCGGCCUGCUGGACUGUGACUGACGUUGAGGCCCGAAGGCGUGGGGAGCAAACAGGAUUAGAUACCCGAGUAGUC
RNAcentral lists this ribosomal RNA (440 nucleotides) under uncultured bacterium. RNAcentral's name for it is "partial 16S ribosomal RNA". It matches the Rfam family "Bacterial small subunit ribosomal RNA", at positions 338 to 795 of the family's 1533-position model. The record is from RNAcentral.